This 76-nucleotide transfer RNA is filed under the name Sulfurimonas sp. RNAcentral describes it as "tRNA-Thr". It matches the Rfam family "tRNA". From Rfam's summary of the family: Transfer RNA (tRNA) molecules are approximately 80 nucleotides in length. Lineage: Bacteria; Pseudomonadati; Campylobacterota; Epsilonproteobacteria; Campylobacterales; Sulfurimonadaceae. The record is from RNAcentral.
GCCGACAUAGCUCAGUUGGUAGAGCAACCGCCUUGUAAGCGGUAGGUCGUCUGUUCGAGUCAGACUGUCGGCACCA